Molecule: long non-coding RNA, 398 nt
Filed under: Brassica napus (rape)
Lineage: Eukaryota; Viridiplantae; Streptophyta; Magnoliopsida; Brassicales; Brassicaceae
Description: long non-coding RNA (BNAP_LNC000072)
Source: RNAcentral
UACAGAAACCUUCUUCCUAAUGUAAAGAGAGAAUGAGAUCGAGUUCUUAACAUACACCAUGAGCCAAGGCAUUAACAUUGAUCAUAUAAAGCAUGACUUUCUUAGUGCGAGAGAGAUAAUUAACUUCGUGUGGUUCUAUACUCGAAGAUAGGGGUCGUCGAAGAUCAUGUAUGCUACCGGAACGUUUUGGUAAAAAUAUAGUUUGAUCAGCAAUCGUCGUAAUUGGCUAUGGCCUUGUGGAAAAAUAAGUCUCGUACGCAUUAAGAGCAUUAACAUGUAUGCUUAUGAUCUAUGGGGGUUGCGUACUUGGAUCUCAAGUUAAAAGGGAAAUCAAGAUGAUCAAAGCGAAAAAGUCCUACUUAAAAAAUUCAACCCAGUGGUUAUAGUUUUCGUCUUUG